UUGUUGAUGGAAAGUGUCGCUGGCAAAUA
Molecule: non-coding RNA, 29 nt
Filed under: Bombyx mori (domestic silkworm)
Lineage: Eukaryota; Metazoa; Arthropoda; Insecta; Lepidoptera; Bombycidae
Source: RNAcentral